AUUUUCCCCAGUUAGUGUUGAUUAUUGAUGUGGUUUGCUCAGAGGGAAGCACAACUGAUUCUUUAGCUCAUUUUUGUUGCUGUACAUAUCCAGAUGAAGCCGCACCAUAACACUUAUGUCAAGCCCCCUCUAGUUUCUAUGUAGCUUGAUGAAUCAAUCGGAUUUUGAAUUCAUCGGUACAUGUCUUCACAUGCAUUAUAGUCCAUACAUGGUUUGGGCACUAAAAUCAAAUUUAUUUGGCUGUUCAUGCACAGGAUUUAUCUGCUUAAUUAUUCAGGAUUAGAAGUUCCAAUUCUGAAUUUUGUAGUUGCGAAGUAGCUAGCUCCAGUGUAUUUAAAUAUUUGGCAAUAAUAGUGGAUGUUAGUCUAUUUGAGGUGUUGCUAGAUGUGUAAUCUUUGCUUCAUGUGAUUGUAAUUCAUGUGACGGUAGCAACGGUUAGCUUUGGUCGGUGGCACCGACUCCCCAUUCAAAAAUUAAAGUUGGUCUCCCUAGACCAUUUGGUAAUUUCUUCACGUGUUUCCACACAUGGAUGUGUUAAUGGGUUCCUUACUUUCCUAAUUGUCUUCUGUUGAUUUAUGAUAUUUGUGGGGUGAUUCUACUAAUGAAUUAACGAUAUUCAUGCCCGGAAAGAAACCUGUAAGCUCAUCAUUUCAUCUCACUCUGUCAGCAGAAGAGCUAGGAAGAUUCUUUGCUCGGAUGCAAGCAACAGGAGCUGACAUAGUGAAAAUUGAAACCACUGCUACUGAGAUCGUUGAUGUGUCAAGAAUAUUUUGAAAUGCUUGUGCACUGCCAAGCAUCAAACAAGAACUGCUCAGCACUGAGGAAGACAUGACUUCAGCUCUCAACUAAGCAAGCCUGACAAUUGUGGCAAAUGGAAAGGAACUACUAUGCUGUAAGUUGUUUUCAGUCAACAAGUGAUUAUGCCACGGAGGUGGAGAUGUGUUCAUCCGGGAUCACCAUGGAGUCCCUCUGGCGGGGGCAUGCCAUUUUUCCCCGAGUGACUGACCCGGAGAGAGCUGAGCUGCUUGCGUGUCACCAUGCUGUUAACUUGGCGAAGGAGUUGGGACUGAUGAAAAUAGCACUGGAAACGGACUGUACUGUGGUGGUGGCGAAACUUCAGGACAGCGACAAGAACCGGUCGAUCCACGGGCCAUUUGUGGAAGAAAUCAAAGCGUCUCUUGGGGGAACUUGAUGAUUUCAGGGUCCUUCACGUGCGACGAUCUGGUAAUUUGGUGGCUCACAAAUUAGCUUAGGAUGGCUGUAUGAAUAAGUGUUGUAAUAGAUGGGUAUCAUGGGUUGAAUCCCUCCCAGACUUUGUGUUAAACCUUGCCGCUCUGAACAUGGGCAAUUAAUAAAGAUGGCAGCCAUUUGAUCUAAAAAAAACAAGUGAUUAUGCCAUUUGGAGAAUGUAAUUUGCUAUUUAGAAUGAUUCUGGGAUAUGUUUUUUUGGCAAAUGAGGCAUAUAGCUCA
Lolium perenne is the source of this 1470-nucleotide non-coding RNA. NCBI's taxonomy places the organism in Eukaryota, Viridiplantae, Streptophyta, Magnoliopsida, Poales, Poaceae. The record is from RefSeq and is a predicted model, not a curated record.